This is a long non-coding RNA of Telopea speciosissima, 162 nucleotides long. RefSeq lists it as uncharacterized. The record is from RefSeq and is a predicted model, not a curated record. NCBI's taxonomy places the organism in Eukaryota, Viridiplantae, Streptophyta, Magnoliopsida, Proteales, Proteaceae. The transcript has 4 exons.
AUUGAUUCAAUGAGCAGGCACGAGUCAACCUUUCGAACUGCUGCUAAAUCCAUGGGCAGGCAAGAGACAACCUGGCGAAUUGAAACAUCUUAGUAGCCAGAGGAAAAAAAAGCAAAAGUGAUUCCCGUAGUAGCGGCGAGCGAAAUGGGAGCAGCCUAAACC